CCCUACGGGGGGCAGCAGUGGGGAAUAUUGGACAAUGGGGGCAACCCUGAUCCAGCAAUGCCGCGUGUGUGAAGAAGGCCUGCGGGUUGUAAAGCACUUUCGGUGGGGAAGAACGCGUCGGCAGCUAACACCUGUCGGCAGUGACGGUACCCAAAGAAGAAGCACCGGCUAACUCUGUGCCAGCAGCCGCGGUAAUACAGAGGGUGCAAGCGUUAAUCGGAAUUACUGGGCGUAAAGCGCACGUAGGUGGUUAUUUAAGUCGGAUGUGAAAUCCCCGGGCUUAACCUGGGAACUGCAUUCGAUACUGAAUGACUUGAGUCUGGUAGAGGGUGGUGGAAUUCCAGGUGUAGCGGUGAAAUGCGUAGAUAUCUGGAGGAACAUCAGUGGCGAAGGCGGCCACCUGGACUGAGACUGACACUGAGGUGCGAAAGCGUGGGGAGCAAACAGGCUUAGAUACCCUGGUAGA
This 466-nucleotide ribosomal RNA is filed under the name uncultured bacterium. Its description in RNAcentral is "bacterial SSU rRNA". It matches the Rfam family "Bacterial small subunit ribosomal RNA", at positions 337 to 794 of the family's 1533-position model. The record is from RNAcentral.